This 598-nucleotide ribosomal RNA is filed under the name Crenosoma striatum. RNAcentral describes it as "eukaryotic LSU rRNA". It matches the Rfam family "Eukaryotic large subunit ribosomal RNA", at positions 386 to 917 of the family's 3401-position model. The record is from RNAcentral. Lineage: Eukaryota; Metazoa; Nematoda; Chromadorea; Rhabditida; Crenosomatidae.
AGUUCAAGAGAACGUGAAAUCGUUGAAGUGGAACCGGAGAGAGUUGACGUAGUAUGGUGGAUAAGUAUUGCAAGAAUCGCUUCAAACAAUGAAUGUGAUCGAGUAAUAUGUACGUCACCAAAGACUGCGCUGACAGCAUCGACUACACGCUCUGAACUGUGUUGACAUGUUGCCUAYUCUAGUAUAUAGAAUGGUGUCUUGUGUUACGUGGUGAAGUUUGUUGUUAUGUUGUUGAUGUUGAUAAGUAUGAUUAUACACCRAGUAUAAUUAUGUCAGUGUAAAAGUCAACCACCUCUCCGACCCGUCUUGAAACACGGACCGAGGAGUGUAACUUGUACGCGAGUCAUUGGGUGGAAAAACCUUAAGGCGAAACGAAAGUGAAGGCACGGUUAACCGGCUGACAUGGGAAACGUGCGGUAUUGUUAGCGAGACGUUACACCAUGGCCCUGUCUUGUCUGCAUGCAGAUGGGCAGCGGUAGAGCGUACAGGUUGCGACCCGAAAGAUGGUGAACUAUGCCUGAGCAGGACGAAGUCAGAGGAAACUCUGGUGGAAGUCCGUAUCGGUUCUGACGUGCAAAUCGAUCGAUAGACUUGGGUA